Long non-coding RNA from Rosa rugosa (rugosa rose), 1309 nucleotides. RefSeq lists it as uncharacterized. The record is from RefSeq and is a predicted model, not a curated record. Lineage: Eukaryota; Viridiplantae; Streptophyta; Magnoliopsida; Rosales; Rosaceae. The transcript has 8 exons.
AGAGCAGAAGAAAGCAGAAAAUCUGAUAGCGCAGGCAGAAAAGAGAAAGAGAGAAAAUGAGAAGCUUCACUCAGAAAUAAUUGAAUUGAAAGACCAGCUCCAAGCCAAACAGGCAGUGAAUGAGGAUUUUGAAGCCCAGAAGAAGAUUAAAGCACUUGAACAAACGUUAAAGGAGAAGGCGCAGGAGCUUACUGAUCUGUCAGAAUUUUACAAUCCACUGAUUUUCAAGGAGAGGAGCAAUAAUGAUGAGCUGCAGGGGGCCCGUAACGAGUUAAUUGAGAAUUAUUCUUUUUGUUUUUGGUUACAGGUUCUUUGCAUUAUAAUCUCGUUGUUCUCUCUGUGUCAUUUGUCUUCCUCUUAUCAGAAGCUCUAUCUACUGGUUUUGAUUCCAAGGAAAGAUCUGCGGUCGAUAGUGUUUUGAGGCAAAGGUUGAACUAUAUGGAGAGGUCUUUGGAAACAGGAUGAGGCUAGGAUGCAGCUGUUGGGGAUGUUACAAUAACUACGAAUAGGACAAGAAUGGUUGAUUUUACACAGCCUUAAUUACAUGGAAUCAGGACUAGUUGUAGUUGUUCCUGUCAAACAGGUAAAAUCAAACCCUUGGGCUUUCCUGAAGCCAUUUACUAUUGAGAUGUGGUUAGUCACCGGUGCAUUCUUCCUUUUUGUGGGAGUCGUUGUUUGGAUUCUAGAGCACAGGAUUAAUCACGAGUUCCGUGGUCCACCAAGGGAACAGCUCAUGACUAUUUUUUGGUUUAGUUUCUCGACGAUGUUCUUCUCACAUAGAGAGAACACUGAGCACUCUAGGACGGCUGGUGCUGAUUAUAUGGUUGUUUGUGGUGUUGAUUAUCAAUUCGAGCUAUACAGCUAGUUUGACAUCGAUCCUCACUGUACAACAGCUGACAUCACGAAUUGAGGGGAUAGACAGCUUGAUAUCAAGUAAUGAUCCAAUCGGAGUUCAAGAUGGGUCAUUUGCAUGGAAUUAUUUGGUUAAUGAGCUCAACAUAGCAGAAGUUGUCAAAACAAUGGUUGCCAAGGGAUAUGUUCUGGGACAAGAUGCAUUAAUCAAGGGGAUUUGUCAAAACAAUGAGUCCUAUCAAGUAUCGGUUGCUACAACGUCCAAGGUUUAUGAGUUAGCAAUUGAAUAUGGGCUCAUCAAGGCAAAGAAGCUUUUCAAUCACCUCAAUAGCUCAGAGUAUGUAGGUCAUGAUACUUAGCCUACUGGGCGUCAGCAUUAUGUAUUUCAAUUUUUGAAUGUUUUUGUAUUUUUCAAGAUUGGUGAGAAAUAAUGUGAAAAAACAUGAAAUUUAUGAUU